This 775-nucleotide ribosomal RNA is filed under the name uncultured Neocallimastigales. RNAcentral's name for it is "partial large subunit ribosomal RNA". It matches the Rfam family "Eukaryotic large subunit ribosomal RNA", at positions 23 to 647 of the family's 3401-position model. Lineage: Eukaryota; Fungi; Neocallimastigomycota; Neocallimastigomycetes; Neocallimastigales. The record is from RNAcentral.
AGAGAGAGACAUGCGCGCAUAUCAAUAAGCGGAGGAAAAGAAACUAACAAGGAUUCCCCUAGUAACGGCGAGUGAAGCGGGAAGAGCUCAAAUUUGAAAUCUUAAAGGGUUUCCCUUUACGAAUUGUAGUUUAAAGAAGUGUUUUCUGUUGAGGUUUUGGUAAAAGUUCUUUGGAAUAGGACAUCAUAGAGGGUGAGAAUCCCGUAUUUGACCUUUACUUUCAACUUUGUGAUACACUUUCAAAGAGUCGGAUUGUUUGGGAAUGCAGUCCAAAAUGGGUGGUAAAUUUCAUCUAAAGCUAAAUAUUGGCGAGAGACCGAUAGCGAACAAGUACCGUGAGGGAAAGAUAGAAAAGAACUUUGAAAAGAGAGUUAAACAGUACGUGAAAUUGUCAAAAGGGAAGCGUUUGACACCAGUGUUGUUUUUCUGAAAAUCAAUUAAAGAACUGUUUAUGCUAAGCUGUUUAGACUUUAUCAGCUAACUGUUUAGUUUUGAGCUUUUCUUUAAUGCACUUUUCAGUUAACAAGUCAACAUCAAUUUCUUUUGCUGUAAAAAAGCUUGAGGAAGGUGGCUUGAGAUUCGUCUUAAGUGUUUAUAGCCUCUUGCCUAUGCAGUCGGAGAGAUUGAGGUCUGCAGCGUAGAUCCUUCGGGGCUAAAUGCAUUUGUGCUAAGUUAUAGCAUUUUAUAGACAACUUGUUGACUAUGAUUUGUCUUGUAGCUUACUCGCUUAUGUUAUUUUACCUACGCUUAGGAUGUUGACGCAUGAGAUAUACGC